UACAGAGGUGGCAAGCGUUGUUCGGAAUUACUGGGCGUAAAGGGCGCGUAGGCGGCUUUUUAAGUCAGACGUGAAAUCCCCGGGCUCAACCCGGGAACUGCGUCCGAUACUGGCUGGCUUGAAUCCGGGAGAGGGAUGCGGAAUUCCAGGUGUAGCGGUGAAAUGCGUAGAUAUCUGGAGGAACACCGGUGGCGAAGGCGGCAUCCUGGACCAACACUGACACUGAUGAGCGAAAGCCAGGGGAGCAAACGGG
This 253-nucleotide ribosomal RNA is filed under the name uncultured bacterium. Its description in RNAcentral is "partial 16S ribosomal RNA". It matches the Rfam family "Bacterial small subunit ribosomal RNA", at positions 524 to 776 of the family's 1533-position model. The record is from RNAcentral.